RNAcentral lists this ribosomal RNA (406 nucleotides) under Serratia sp. AZTITEMP177. Its description in RNAcentral is "bacterial SSU rRNA". It matches the Rfam family "Bacterial small subunit ribosomal RNA", at positions 930 to 1335 of the family's 1533-position model. Lineage: Bacteria; Pseudomonadati; Pseudomonadota; Gammaproteobacteria; Enterobacterales; Yersiniaceae. The record is from RNAcentral.
UGGUGGANCAUGUGGUUUAAUUCGAUGCAACGCGAAGAACCUUACCUACUCUUGACAUCCACAGAAUUCGGCAGAGAUNCCUUAGUGCCUUCGGGAACUGUGAGACAGGUGCUGCAUGGCUGUCGUCAGCUCGUGUUGUGAAAUGUUGGGUUAAGUCCCGCAACGAGCGCAACCCUUAUCCUUUGUUGCCAGCGCGUNANGGNGGGAACUCAAAGGAGACUGCCGGUGAUAAACCGGAGGAAGGUGGGGAUGACGUCAAGUCAUCAUGGCCCUUACGAGUAGGGCUACACACGUGCUACAAUGGCGUAUACAAAGAGAAGCGAACUCGCGAGAGCCAGCGGACCUCAUAAAGUACGUCGUAGUCCGGAUCGGAGUCUGCAACUCGACUCCGNGAAGUCGGAAUCGC